UGGGGAAUUUUGCACAAUGGGGGAAACCCUGAUGCAGCGACGCCGCGUGAUUUAGAAGGCCUUCGGGUUGUAAAAAUCUUUUCUAUGGGAAGAAAAUGACAGUACCAUAGGAAUAAGGACCGGCUAAUUACGUGCCAGCAGCCGCGGUAAUACGUAAGGUCCGAGCGUUGUCCGGAAUCAUUGGGCGUAAAGGGUACGUAGGCGGGUAAGCAAGUUAGAAGUGAAAUCCUGUAGCUCAACUACAGUAAGCUUUUAAAACUGCUCAUCUUGAGAUAUGGAAGGGAAAGUGGAAUUCCUAGUGUAGCGGUGAAAUGCACAGAUAUUAGGAGGAAUACCGGUGGCGAAGGCGACUUUCUGACCAUAAUCUAACGCUAAGGUACGAAAGCGUGAGUAGCAAACCGG
This 402-nucleotide ribosomal RNA is filed under the name Verrucomicrobiota bacterium. RNAcentral describes it as "Verrucomicrobia bacterium partial 16S ribosomal RNA". It matches the Rfam family "Bacterial small subunit ribosomal RNA", at positions 355 to 776 of the family's 1533-position model. The record is from RNAcentral. Lineage: Bacteria; Pseudomonadati; Verrucomicrobiota.